GCCCAGGUGGCGGAACAGGCAGACGCGCUAUCUUGAGGGGGUAGUGUCCGAAAGGGCGUGUGGGUUCGAAUCCCACCCUGGGCA
This 84-nucleotide transfer RNA is filed under the name Hydrogenothermus marinus. It matches the Rfam family "tRNA". Rfam says of the family: Transfer RNA (tRNA) molecules are approximately 80 nucleotides in length. Their secondary structure includes four short double-helical elements and three loops (D, anti-codon, and T loops). Further hydrogen bonds mediate the characteristic L-shaped molecular structure. tRNAs have two regions of fundamental functional importance: the anti-codon, which is responsible for specific mRNA codon recognition, and the 3' end, to which the tRNAs corresponding amino acid is attached (by aminoacyl-tRNA synthetases). tRNAs cope with the degeneracy of the genetic code in two manners: having more than one tRNA (with a specific anti-codon) for a particular amino acid; and 'wobble' base-pairing, i.e. permitting non-standard base-pairing at the 3rd anti-codon position. Lineage: Bacteria; Pseudomonadati; Aquificota; Aquificia; Aquificales; Hydrogenothermaceae. The record is from Rfam by way of RNAcentral.